GCGCCCGUAGCUCAGUUGGAUAGAGCAUCGGCCUUCUAAGCCGAGGGUCGCCUGUUCGAGCCAGGCCGGGCGCGCCA
This 77-nucleotide transfer RNA is filed under the name Gammaproteobacteria bacterium HGW-Gammaproteobacteria-1. RNAcentral describes it as "tRNA-Arg". It matches the Rfam family "tRNA". From Rfam's summary of the family: Transfer RNA (tRNA) molecules are approximately 80 nucleotides in length. Lineage: Bacteria; Pseudomonadati; Pseudomonadota; Gammaproteobacteria. The record is from RNAcentral.